UACGUAGGAGGCGAGCGUUGUCCGGAAUUACUGGGUGUAAAGCGCGUGUAGGCGGUGAGUUAAGUCUGUUGUGAAAGCGCCCGGCUCAACCGGGCAGAGUCAAUGGAAACUAGCGCACUGGAGGUCGGUAGAGGCGAGUGGAAUUCCCGGUGUAGUGGUGAAAUGCGUAGAGAUCGGGAGGAACACCAGUGGCGAAGGCGGCUCGCUGGGCCGGACCUGACGCUGAGACGCGAAGGCGUGGGGAGCGAACGGGG
RNAcentral lists this ribosomal RNA (254 nucleotides) under uncultured bacterium. RNAcentral describes it as "partial 16S ribosomal RNA". It matches the Rfam family "Bacterial small subunit ribosomal RNA", at positions 524 to 777 of the family's 1533-position model. The record is from RNAcentral.